Molecule: ribosomal RNA, 534 nt
Filed under: uncultured bacterium
Lineage: Bacteria
Description: bacterial SSU rRNA
Rfam family: Bacterial small subunit ribosomal RNA
Source: RNAcentral
GCCCUUGACAUGUCCUCUAUGGAUUCCAGAGACGGAGUCCUUCACUUCGGGUGGGAGGAACACAGGUGCUGCAUGGCUGUCGUCAGCUCGUGUCGCGAGAUGUUGGGUUAAGUCCCGCAACGAGCGCAACCCUCGCCCUUAGUUGCCAUCAUUUAGUUGGGCACUCUAAGGGGACUGCCGGUGAUAAGCCGGAGGAAGGUGGGGAUGACGUCAAGUCCUCAUGGCCCUUACGGGCUGGGCUACACACGUGCUACAAUGGCGGUGACAGAGGGAUGCAAAGGGGCAACCCUUCGCAAAUCUCAAAAAGCCGUCUCAGUUCGGAUUGGGGUCUGCAACUCGACCCCAUGAAGUUGGAAUCGCUAGUAAUCGCAGAUCAGCACGCUGCGGUGAAUACGUUCCCGGGCCUUGUACACACCGCCCGUCACACCAUGGGAGUUGGCUUUACCUGAAGACGGUGCGCUAACCGCAAGGAAGCAGCCGGCCACGGUAGGGUCAGCGACUGGGGUGAAGUCGUAACAAGGUAGGCGUACUACA